Molecule: microRNA precursor, 62 nt
Filed under: Eptatretus burgeri (inshore hagfish)
Lineage: Eukaryota; Metazoa; Chordata; Myxini; Myxiniformes; Myxinidae
Description: Ebu-Mir-29-P1f_pre stem-loop
Rfam family: mir-29 microRNA precursor family
About the family: This family represents the microRNA (miRNA) precursors mir-29. Animal miRNAs are transcribed as ~70nt precursors and subsequently processed by the Dicer enzyme to give a ~22nt product.
Source: RNAcentral
CUGGUUUCACAUGGUGCCAUAGAUGAAUUCUGGCUGAGUCUAGCACCAUUUGAAAUCAGUGU